UUUUAACAAUUUUAUUGUACUUGUUCCUAAUCAAAUUAAUGAACAUUAAUUGAAGAUCGCUAGGCCACUAGAAUAUAUGAGAGUUAAGCUCUGUAUUUUAAAUCUGGUGGGUUUUUUUUCUCUUAUAUAUUAGGAACAUCACAAAAGAUCAAUUCCAAGGGACACCUGGAACCUCCUGCUGGACUUUGGAAACAUGAUUGCGGAUGAUAUGUCUAACUACGAUGAAGAAGGAGCUUGGCCUGUUCUUAUAGAUGAUUUUGUAGAAUAUGCACGGCCAGUAGUCACAGGUGGAAAACGCAGCCUUUUCUAGGCAGCAAGUUAAGCAGGAGUAAGAUUAUGAAAUGAUUUGUAUCCUGCAAGGAGAUUUCAGUCAGUUCCUGGGUGCACUGUCACUGAUUCCAGAAGUCAUUCUUGACCAGCCAUGAAACCAGAGGAGCCGUCCCAUUCUGCCAGAGGACAGCAGCGGCUGCUUUGUGGACACCGCAGGAAGUUCCUCAGGACACGGCUGCUUUGGGAUGUUUGGAGAUUUAUCAUCAUAGCU
Molecule: small RNA, 541 nt
Filed under: Pongo abelii (Sumatran orangutan)
Lineage: Eukaryota; Metazoa; Chordata; Mammalia; Primates; Hominidae
Description: retained intron
Source: RNAcentral